This is a non-coding RNA of Schistosoma curassoni, 45 nucleotides long. The record is from Rfam. NCBI's taxonomy places the organism in Eukaryota, Metazoa, Platyhelminthes, Trematoda, Strigeidida, Schistosomatidae.
UUCCAGCUGACGAGUCCCAAAUAGAACGAAACGCGCAUCCUGAAC